Molecule: small nucleolar RNA, 107 nt
Filed under: Gossypium hirsutum (cotton)
Lineage: Eukaryota; Viridiplantae; Streptophyta; Magnoliopsida; Malvales; Malvaceae
Description: Plant small nucleolar RNA R71
Rfam family: Plant small nucleolar RNA R71
About the family: R71 is a member of the C/D box family of snoRNAs containing the C (UGAUGA) and D (CUGA) box motifs. Multiple nearly identical copies of this snoRNA have been identified in Arabidopsis, and it is thought to function as a 2'-O-ribose methylation guide for 18S ribosomal RNA.
Source: Rfam by way of RNAcentral
AUCCCAUGAUGAGGACACUUACGAAGUAACUGCUUGAAUCGCUCCCAAGCCUCACACAAAGACUUAUCAUCUAGUUACUCGAAAGUUGUGAUCUCGUUCCUCAACUU